Molecule: long non-coding RNA, 440 nt
Organism: Cygnus olor (mute swan)
Lineage: Eukaryota; Metazoa; Chordata; Aves; Anseriformes; Anatidae
Exons: 4
Source: RefSeq, a predicted model, not a curated record
UAAGGGUGUAUUCUGGCCUGCAGUCUUUGGGAAAUCACCACAGGGGGUCAGACUACUGAAGCAUAGUCAAGCAAUAAAUCUAUCAGUGUCAGGGUAGAUGACUUUGUGUUGAGAAGCAUAUGUUUCCUCUGUGUGCUACAGAGUCAUCUUUAAACACUACUCAGUCUUGAUUACGCAGGAUGUUCUAAAUAACCAAAAUUCUUUUAAGGAAAAAAAUCUCUGUAAGCCCUUGGACAUAAAGCCAUCUUUCAAAAAGAGCAAAGGAAGGGCACAUGGAACUUCAAAUCUGAAGUGAUGCAGCAGCAAGUGAUGGCUGGUGACACCUGAAAGUGACAGGACUGUUGAUUAUCAUCAAGCAAGUUGCCUAAAUUUUAGACAGACCAGGAAACAUGUUCACUCAAUUCUUGUGGGCUUUUUUGAGACUAAAUAAAAUGUGUUUU